CCUACGGGUGGCAGCAGUGAGGAAUAUUGGUCAAUGGGCGCGAGCCUGACCCAGCCAAGUAGCGUGAAGGAUGACUGCCCUACGGGUUGUAAACUUCUUUUAUAAAGGAAUAAAGUGAGGCACGUGUGCCUUUUUGUAUGUACUUUAUGAACAAGGAUCGGCUAACUCCGUUCCAGCAGCGUCGGUAAUACGGAGGAUCCGAGCGUUAUCCGGAUUUAUUGGGUUUAAAGGGAGCGUAGAUGGGUUGUUAAGUUAGUUGUGAAAUUUUGCGGCUCAACCGUAAAAUUGCAAUUGAUACUGGCAGCCUUGAGUACAGUAGAGGUAGGCGGAAUUCGUGGUGUAGCGGUGAAAUGCUUAGAUAUCACGAGGAACUCCGAUGGCGAAGGCAGCCUACUAAACUGCCACUGACAUUGAUGCUCGAAAGUGUGGGUAUCAAACAGGAUUAGAUACCCUAGUAGUC
Molecule: ribosomal RNA, 460 nt
Filed under: uncultured bacterium
Lineage: Bacteria
Description: partial 16S ribosomal RNA
Rfam family: Bacterial small subunit ribosomal RNA
Source: RNAcentral